This 468-nucleotide ribosomal RNA is filed under the name uncultured bacterium. Its description in RNAcentral is "partial 16S ribosomal RNA". It matches the Rfam family "Bacterial small subunit ribosomal RNA", at positions 28 to 507 of the family's 1533-position model. The record is from RNAcentral.
GACGAACGCUGGCGGCGUGCUUAACACAUGCAAGUCGAACGGACAGGCCCUGCUUUUGUGGGGUGCUCGUUUGGCGAACGGGUGAGUAACACGUGUGUAACCUGCCCUUGACUUUGGGAUAACUUCUGGAAACUGGGGCUAAUACCGGAUAGGAUCUCCUGCUGCAUGUUGUUGGUUGGUAAGUUUCGGCCGUUGGGGAUGGACUCGCGGCUUAUCGGCUAGUUUGUGGGGUAGUGGCUUCCCAAGGGUUUGACGGGUAGCCGGCCUGAGAGGGGGACCGGGCACAUUGGGACUGCGGUACGGCCCAGAAGCCUACGGGAGGCAGUAGUGGGGAAUAUUGCGCAAUGGGCGGGAGCGUGAUACAGAGGCGCCGGGAGCGGGAUGACGGGCUUCGGGUUGUAAACCGCUUUCGAAUGUGAUGAAGACGGAGUGACGGUAAUGAGUAAAGAAGCACCGGCUAACUACGUG